AACGAACGCUGGCGGCAUGCCUAACACAUGCAAGUCGAGCGAGAUCUUCGGGGCUAGCGGCGGGCGGGGUGGUAACGGGUGGGAAUAUGCCCUUCUCUGCGGAAUGGCGUCGGGAAACUGAGCGUAAUAGCGGAUACGCUCUUUGGUGGAAAGAUUUAUGGGAGAAGGAUUAGCCCGCGUUGGAUCCGGUAGGUGGUGGGGUAAGGGCCUACCAAGCGGUCGAUACAUAGCGGGUUUGAGAGGAUGAUCAGCCACACUGGGACUGAGAAACGGCCCAGACUCUUACGGGAGGCAGCCGUGCGGAAUCUUAGAAAACGGGGGCAACCAUGAUCUAGCCAUGCCGGGUGAGUGCUGAAGGCCUUAGAGUUGUCACGCUCUUUAAGCUGCGAAGCUAAUGACGGUACCAGCAGAAGAAGCCCCGGCUAACUCCGUG
RNAcentral lists this ribosomal RNA (433 nucleotides) under uncultured bacterium. Its description in RNAcentral is "partial 16S ribosomal RNA". It matches the Rfam family "Bacterial small subunit ribosomal RNA", at positions 29 to 507 of the family's 1533-position model. The record is from RNAcentral.